RNAcentral lists this ribosomal RNA (446 nucleotides) under uncultured bacterium. RNAcentral describes it as "partial 16S ribosomal RNA". It matches the Rfam family "Bacterial small subunit ribosomal RNA", at positions 338 to 795 of the family's 1533-position model. The record is from RNAcentral.
CCUACGGGGGGCUGCAGUAGGGAAUUUUCGGCAAUGGGGGGAACCCUGACCGAGCAACGCCGCGUGAACGAAGAAGUUAUUCGUAAUGUAAAGCUCUGUUAACAGGGAAGAAAGAGAAAUUUGGCGGUACCUGAAGAAUAAGCGCCGGCUAACUACGUGCCAGCAGCCGCGGUAAUACGUAGGGAGCGAGCGUUAUCCGGAAUUAUUGGGCGUAAAGGGUGCGUAGAUGGCAUAGUAAGUCUUUUGUAAAAAUGCUGGGCUCAACCCAGUAGGGCAAAAGAUACUGCAAAGCUAGAGUAUGACAGAGGCAAGUGGAACUACAUGUGUAGCGGGAAAAUGCGUAGAUAUAUGUAAGAACACCAGUGGCGAAGGCGGCUUGCUGGGUCGAUACUGACAUUGAGGCACGAAAGCAUGGGGAGCAAACAGGAUUAGAUACCCGGGUAGUC